AGUUUGAUCCUGGCUCAGAUUGAACGCUGGCGGCAGGCCUAACACAUGCNAGUCGAACGGUAACAUUUCUAGCUUGCUAGAAGAUGACGAGUGGCGGACGGGUGAGUAAUGCUUGGGAACUUGCCUUUGCGAGGGGGAUAACAGUUGGAAACGACUGCUAAUACCGCAUAAUGUCUACGGACCAAACGGGGCUUCGGCUCCGGCGCAAAGAGAGGCCCAAGUGAGAUUAGCUAGUUGGUAAGGUAACGGCUUACCAAGGCGACGAUCUCUAGCUGUUCUGAGAGGAAGAUCAGCCACACUGGGACUGAGACACGGCCCAGACUCCUACGGGAGGCAGCAGUGGGGAAUAUUGCACAAUGGGGGAAACCCUGAUGCAGCCAUGCCGCGUGUGUGAAGAAGGCCUUCGGGUUGUAAAGCACUUUCAGUUGUGAGGAAAAGUUAGUAGUUAAUACCUGCUANCCGUUGACGUUAACCACAG
RNAcentral lists this ribosomal RNA (478 nucleotides) under uncultured bacterium. RNAcentral's name for it is "bacterial SSU rRNA". It matches the Rfam family "Bacterial small subunit ribosomal RNA", at positions 10 to 484 of the family's 1533-position model. The record is from RNAcentral.